Molecule: ribosomal RNA, 464 nt
Filed under: Vreelandella stevensii
Lineage: Bacteria; Pseudomonadati; Pseudomonadota; Gammaproteobacteria; Oceanospirillales; Halomonadaceae
Description: partial 16S ribosomal RNA
Rfam family: Bacterial small subunit ribosomal RNA
Source: RNAcentral
CCUACGGGCGGCUGCAGUGGGGAAUAUUGGACAAUGGGCGAAAGCCUGAUCCAGCCAUGCCGCGUGUGUGAAGAAGGCCUUCGGGUUGUAAAGCACUUUCAGUGGGGAAGAAAGCCUUGGGGCUAAUACCCUCGAGGAAGGACAUCACCCACAGAAGAAGCACCGGCUAACUCCGUGCCAGCAGCCGCGGUAAUACGGAGGGUGCGAGCGUUAAUCGGAAUUACUGGGCGUAAAGCGCGCGUAGGCGGUCUGAUAAGCCGGUUGUGAAAGCCCCGGGCUCAACCUGGGAACGGCAUCCGGAACUGUCAGGCUAGAGUGCAGGAGAGGAAGGUAGAAUUCCCAGUGUAGCGGUGAAAUGCGUAGAGAUCGGGAGGAAUACCAGUGGCGAAGGCGGCCUUCUGGACUGACACUGACGCUGAGGUGCGAAAGCGUGGGUAGCAAACAGGAUUAGAUACCCGAGUAGC